CGUUUGAUCCUCAGAGGGUUUCUGCAGACAUGGAGCUUCUAGCACUUCUGUUUUUGAGCUUCUGUUUCCUGACUUUGUCCGGACUGACGUUUGGUGCUGAAUCCGGCUCACAUGUGAUUGUGAAAGAAGAUGAUGAUGCAAUUUUAAGCUGCUCCCUCAACAACAUGAACAUCAAACCAAUGCUCUUUGACUGGAGAAAAGACACAGAAAGGUUGCAGGUGUUUAUGUAUAAUAAUGGUAUUCUUCACAAUAAAGGUCCUCCAAAUCAAGACAAGCAGUUCAGCGGUCGAGUCUCACAUUUUCCAGAAGAACUGGAGCAUGGCAACGCCUCCAUAAUCAUCAGAAAGACUAAGGUGAUCGACAGUGGAAGCUACACCUGUGAAUUUCCACAUCUGCAGCCAGAAAGAAUAUUCCACAUUGAACUUAUUGUUGGUGCAUCUCCACUGCCCGUAGUCAGAAUAUUUCAUAAUGGCCGGUUGCAGUGUGAGGUCAGGAGUGCAUCUCCUGAACCUACAGUAGAGUGGUGGGACAGUGAUAACCAAAGACUUCCCUCUGAGGACCCAGUUGUUACAGAAGAAGGAGACAUCAUCCUCAAAACUACUGUGACCCGGACUGGCCUCUAUCGCUGUGUGGCUACACAGGAUAGCAUCAAACAUCAGAUUUAUACUGAGACCUUUGUGCAACUUGAAGCACAAAGAGGGAGAGAGAGGAGCAGAGAGGGAGAGAGGGGGAGAGAGGAACAGAGAGGGAGAUGGAGAAUGAGGACAGAACAGAGAUGGAACAAGGGCAGUUUCAGAUUCCACUGGAUGGGUGGUUGCUGGUGUUGUCAGUGUUGUUUUGGUCGGUGUUUUGGUCUGUGUUGCUGUUCUUAAAGCCAGAGGAUAUAAUUGUAAGAAAGAUUCACCAAGAGAAACAAGUCUCUUCUAAUUCAAGGCAGCAGCAUGAUGAUGACUCUAAACAACCUUUGGAUGAGUAAAAACUUGCAGAAAAAUUCAAUAUAAAGAUGCUGGUCCCAAGAAAUCCAACAACAACCAACCCAGGGGAAUCAUCAUUCAGUUUACAUCCAGGAUCCACCGCGAUGCUGUCUGGCGCGCUGCUAAGAAGUCCACCUACCUUAAAGGUAACAACCUAAAGCUGGCUGAGGAUCUGUCCUCUGACGAUCGCGCCCGAAGAAACAGACUCUGGCCGGCUGUGGAAGCUGCGCGCAAAGAAAACAAGCUGGCGUUCUUCGUAGGAGGUAGUGCAUUCGUGGAGGGAAAAGAGAUUUUUCCACCCCUAUAAUUUGAUCAAAGGUAUUUUGAGGUGAAAACUGAAGUAUCUUAAGAUUAACUUGGUUUCACUGCUGUUCUUUUGUUUGUUUGUUUGUUUGUGUUGUUGGACUCAUAAAACGAUCAGAGUUAAACUGAUACAGUUUAUUUGUUAUAAGUUUAUUGGUCUUGAGUUUGGCUACAAUAUUUUUGCUGUAAAUAUUAUGAGCAAGCUGAAUAAGCUUCUUUUUAUUUUUUUUAAUUCUUUUUUGAAUAAUUAGUUAUUUAAAUGGUGCGAGUAAAAUUUUAAUAAGCUCCCUUUCAAUGCCCAUAUGUGAAGCGUUUACUUAUUUUAUUUUAUUUUUACCACAUUGGUUUUAUCGUUUUAGGCUAUUGUACUCUUAUUAUUAUUCAAGUUCACAAUUUCCAUACUCAGGGGUUGCAGUUCUCAUCUUAUAUAGGACUCUCUUAAGUGACCAGGUUCCGAAUUCAACUUUUCUUCAUUUACUUGGUCUAAGCUUUUUCUUAUUUGUCACUUUUAAUUUUUGUUACUAUCCUUAUGUCUUUGUCUG
This is an RNA transcript of Oreochromis aureus, 1819 nucleotides long. It is a transcript of the gene named CD276 antigen-like, with no coding region annotated. The record is from RefSeq and is a predicted model, not a curated record. Lineage: Eukaryota; Metazoa; Chordata; Actinopteri; Cichliformes; Cichlidae. The transcript has 7 exons.